CAAAUCCCUGCUGUACUGAGGAUGCAACUUGAGUCAAGGGCUCCACUCCAGAGGAAAGCAAAAUCCCUGGUCAACCCUCCCAACAGGGGACCUGCUGUCCUGUAUGUUGCUUUUGGUCUUCAGGACCCUGUCCUUAAACAAUCUUCAGUGUUGUGCUGCAGGCUCUAGUAUCCAUCACCUCCAAACCCCAGACAGAGGUCACUCAGCCUGCGACCUUGACAGUCUGCUCCUUCCAUUACUGUCACUGGCUUUGGGAGCAAGAAUUUGGCACAGACUCAGUCUAAGCCCCAUGUCUCUUUGA
RNAcentral lists this long non-coding RNA (301 nucleotides) under Mus spicilegus (steppe mouse). Its description in RNAcentral is "lncRNA (ENSMSIG00000011703.1)". Lineage: Eukaryota; Metazoa; Chordata; Mammalia; Rodentia; Muridae. The record is from RNAcentral.